GAGUUUGAUCAUGGCUCAGGAUGAACGCUGACAGAAUGCUUAACACAUGCAAGUCAACUUGAACUUCGGUUUGGGUGGCGGACGGGUGAGUAACGCGUAAAGAACUUGCCUCACAGAUAGGGACAACAUUUGGAAACAAAUGCUAAUACCUGAUAUUAUGAUUUUAGGGCAUCCUAGAAUUAUGAAAGCUAUAUGCACUGUGAGAGAGCUUUGCGUCCCAUUAGCUAGUUGGAGAGGUAACGGCUCACCAAGGCGAUGAUGGGUAGCCGGCCUGAGAGGGUGAUCGGCCACAAGGGGACUGAGACACGGCCCUUACUCCUACGGGAGGCAGCAGUGGGGAAUAUUGGACAAUGGACCAAGAGUCUGAUCCAGCAAUUCUGUGUGCACGAUGAAGUUUUUCGGAAUGUAAAGUGCUUUCAGUUGGGAAGAAAAAAAUGACGGUACCAACAGAAGAAGUGACGGCUAAAUACGUGCCAGCAGCCGCGGUAAUACGUAUGUCACAAGCGUUAUCCGGAUUUAUUGGGCGUAAAGCGCGUCUAGGUGGCUAUGUAAGUCUGAUGUGAAAAUGCAGGGCUCAACUCUGUAUUGCGUUGGAAACUGUGUAACUAGAGUACUGGAGAGGUAAGCGGAACUACAAGUGUAGAGGUGAAAUUCGUAGAUAUUUGUAGGAAUGCCGAUGGGGAAGCCAGCUUACUGGACAGAUACUGACGCUGAAGCGCGAAAGCGUGGGUAGCAAACAGGAUUAGAUACCCUGGUAGUCCACGCCGUAAACGAUGAUUACUAGGUGUUGGGGGGUCGAACCUCAGCGCCCAAGCAAACGCGAUAAGUAAUCCGCCUGGGGGAGUACGUACGCAAAGUAUGAAAAUCAAAAGGAAAUUGACGGGGGACCGGCACAAGCGGUGGAGCAUGUGGUUUAAUUGAACGGCAAACGGCGAGGAAACCUUACCAAGCGUUUGACUUCUUAGGAAUGAGACAGAGAUGUUUCAGUGUCCCUUCGGGGAAAACUAAACAAGUGGUGCAAUGCUGUCGUCAGCUCGUGUCGUGAAGAUGUUGGGUUAGUCC
RNAcentral lists this ribosomal RNA (1062 nucleotides) under uncultured bacterium. Its description in RNAcentral is "bacterial SSU rRNA". It matches the Rfam family "Bacterial small subunit ribosomal RNA", at positions 9 to 1087 of the family's 1533-position model. The record is from RNAcentral.